This 61-nucleotide non-coding RNA is filed under the name Streptomyces sp. The record is from RNAcentral. Lineage: Bacteria; Bacillati; Actinomycetota; Actinomycetes; Kitasatosporales; Streptomycetaceae.
GCUAGCCUGGAAGGACCCCGACGAGACGCGCCGUACCGGGUACACGACAAGACGACGCACC